ACUUGCUUUGGCAACUUACGUCCCAAAAUUGGAACAAUACAGAGAUAAACAUCAACCCUGCAGAAGGUUGACACACAAAUUUGUGGAACUUUCCAUAUGUUU
Suncus etruscus (white-toothed pygmy shrew) is the source of this 102-nucleotide small nuclear RNA. The record is from RefSeq and is a predicted model, not a curated record. NCBI's taxonomy places the organism in Eukaryota, Metazoa, Chordata, Mammalia, Eulipotyphla, Soricidae.